This 87-nucleotide transfer RNA is filed under the name Anaerocolumna xylanovorans DSM 12503. RNAcentral describes it as "tRNA_Leu_CAG". It matches the Rfam family "tRNA". Rfam says of the family: Transfer RNA (tRNA) molecules are approximately 80 nucleotides in length. Their secondary structure includes four short double-helical elements and three loops (D, anti-codon, and T loops). The record is from RNAcentral. Lineage: Bacteria; Bacillati; Bacillota; Clostridia; Lachnospirales; Lachnospiraceae.
GCAGUUGUGGCGGAAUUGGCAUACGCGCUAGAUUCAGGUUCUAGUCCGGGUUUCCGGGUAGGGGUUCAAGUCCCCUCAACUGCACUA